This 476-nucleotide ribosomal RNA is filed under the name uncultured bacterium. RNAcentral's name for it is "bacterial SSU rRNA". It matches the Rfam family "Bacterial small subunit ribosomal RNA", at positions 28 to 502 of the family's 1533-position model. The record is from RNAcentral.
GAUGAACGCUAGCGGCAGGCUUAAUACAUGCAAGUCGAACGGUAACAGGUCUUCGGACGCUGACGAGUGGCGCACGGGUGAGGAACACGUACACAAUCUACCUUAUACUGGAGAAUAGCCCCGGGAAACUGGGAUUAAUACUCCAUAGUCUUUAAUGAUCACAUGAGAAAUAAAGUAAAGCUUCGGCGGUAUGAGAUGAGUGUGCGUCCCAUUAGAUUGUUGGUGAGGUAACGGCUCACCAAGUCGACGAUGGGUAGCUGGCGUGAGAGCGCGACCAGCCACACUGGCACUGAGACACGGGCCAGACUCCUACGGGAGGCAGCAGUAGGGAAUAUUGGUCAAUGGACGAAAGUCUGAACCAGCCAUGCCGCGUGGAGGAUGACUGCCCUCUGGGUUGUAAACUCCUUUUAUAUGGGAAGAAACCUCUGGAUUCACUCCAGAGCUGACGGUAUCAUAUGAAUAAGCACCGGCUAACU